UACAGAGGUCCCAAGCGUUGUUCGGAUUCACUGGGCGUAAAGGGUGCGCAGGCGGCCGUGUGUGUGAGGCGUGAAAGCCCGGGGCUCAACCCCGGAAUUGCACCUCAAACUACAUGGCUAGAGCAUUGGAGAGGGAAGCGGAAUUCACGGUGUAGCAGUGAAAUGCGUAGAUAUCGUGAGGAACACCAGAGGCGAAGGCGGCUUCCUGGACAAUUGCUGACGCUCAGGCACGAAAGCGUGGGGAGCAAAAGGG
Molecule: ribosomal RNA, 253 nt
Filed under: uncultured bacterium
Lineage: Bacteria
Description: partial 16S ribosomal RNA
Rfam family: Bacterial small subunit ribosomal RNA
Source: RNAcentral